RNAcentral lists this ribosomal RNA (465 nucleotides) under Vreelandella stevensii. Its description in RNAcentral is "partial 16S ribosomal RNA". It matches the Rfam family "Bacterial small subunit ribosomal RNA", at positions 338 to 795 of the family's 1533-position model. Lineage: Bacteria; Pseudomonadati; Pseudomonadota; Gammaproteobacteria; Oceanospirillales; Halomonadaceae. The record is from RNAcentral.
CCUACGGGCGGCAGCAGUGGGGAAUAUUGGACAAUGGGCGAAAGCCUGAUCCAGCCAUGCCGCGUGUGUGAAGAAGGCCUUCGGGUUGUAAAGCACUUUCAGUGGGGAAGAAAGCCUUGGGGCUAAUACCCUCGAGGAAGGACAUCACCCACAGAAGAAGCACCGGCUAACUCCGUGCCAGCAGCCGCGGUAAUACGGAGGGUGCGAGCGUCAAUCGGAAUUACUGGGCGUAAAGCGCGCGUAGGCGGUCUGAUAAGCCGGUUGUGAAAGCCCCGGGCUCAACCUGGGAACGGCAUCCGGAACUGUCAGGCUAGAGUGCAGGAGAGGAAGGUAGAAUUCCCGGUGUAGCGGUGAAAUGCGUAGAGAUCGGGAGGAAUACCAGUGGCGAAGGCGGCCUUCUGGACUGACACUGACGCUGAGGUGCGAAAGCGUGGGUAGCAAACAGGAUUAGAUACCCUUGUAGUC